Molecule: ribosomal RNA, 276 nt
Filed under: uncultured Glomus
Lineage: Eukaryota; Fungi; Glomeromycota; Glomeromycetes; Glomerales; Glomeraceae
Description: partial 18S small subunit ribosomal RNA
Rfam family: Eukaryotic small subunit ribosomal RNA
Source: RNAcentral
CCAAUAGCGUAUAUUAAAGUUGUUGCAGUUAAAAAGCUCGUAGUUGAAUUUCGGGGUCAGUAGGUUGGUCGUGCCACCGGUACGUACUGGUCUCACUGAUUCCUCUUUCCUGAUGAGCUGUAAUGCCAUUAAUUUGGUGUUGCAGGGAAUCUGGACUGUUACUUUGAAAAAAUUAGAGUGUUUAAAGCAGGCUAACGCUUGAAUACAUUAGCAUGGAAUAAUGAAAUAGGACGUUCGAUCCUAUAUUGUUGGUUUCUAGGAUUGACGUAAUGAUUA